GCAGGUGUGGUGGAAUUGGUAGACACGCUAGUUUCAGGUACUAGUGCCGCAAGGCUUGGGAGUUCGAGUCUCCCCAUCUGUA
This 82-nucleotide transfer RNA is filed under the name Pricia sp. Its description in RNAcentral is "tRNA-Leu". It matches the Rfam family "tRNA". Rfam says of the family: Transfer RNA (tRNA) molecules are approximately 80 nucleotides in length. Lineage: Bacteria; Pseudomonadati; Bacteroidota; Flavobacteriia; Flavobacteriales; Flavobacteriaceae. The record is from RNAcentral. RNAcentral also lists the same sequence under 1 other name.